GACGAACGCUGGCGGCGUGCUUAACACAUGCAAGUCGAACGAAGUGGCGAACGGGUGAGUAACGCGUCAUCAACCUUCCCUUCAGAGGGGGACAACAGUUGGAAACGACUGCUAAUACCGCAUACUGAAGGAGGGGCUUGCGUCUGAUUAGCUAGUUGGGGGGGUAACGGCCCACCAAGGUGAUGAUCAGUAGCCGGGCUGAGAGGAUGAACGGGCACAAUGGGAAUGAGAAAAGGCCCAGACUCCUACGGGAGGCAGCAAUGGGGAAACUUCCGCAAUGGACGAAAGUCUGACGGAGCAACGCCGCGGGAGUGAUGACGGCCGUCUGGUUGUAAAGCUCUGUUAAUCGGGACGCGGUACCGGAAGAGAAAGCCACGGCUAACUACGUGCCAGCCGCCGCGGUAAUAC
RNAcentral lists this ribosomal RNA (408 nucleotides) under uncultured bacterium. RNAcentral's name for it is "partial 16S ribosomal RNA". It matches the Rfam family "Bacterial small subunit ribosomal RNA", at positions 28 to 526 of the family's 1533-position model. The record is from RNAcentral.